GAGUUGUAAUCUAGAGAAGCGUCUUCCGCGCUGGACCGUGUACAAGUCUCCUGGAAGGGAGCGUCAUAGAGGGUGAGAAUCCCGUCUUUGACACGGACUACCAGUGCUAUGUGAUGCGCUCUCAACGAGUCGAGUUGUUUGGGAAUGCAGCUCAAAACGGGUGGUAAAUUCCAUCUAAAGCUAAAUACAGGCGAGAGACCGAUAGCGAACAAGUACCGUGAGGGAAAGAUGAAAAGAACUUUGGAAAGAGAGUUAAACAGUACGUGAAAUUGCUGAAAGGGAAACGCUUGAUGUCAGUCGCGUCGGCCAGGGAUCAACCUUGCUUCUCGCUGGGUGCACUUCCUGCUCGACGGGUCAGCAUCAGUUUCCAUCGCCGUACAAUGGCGCGAGGAAUGUGGCACUCUUCGGAGUGUGUUAUAGCCUUUCGUCCUAUGCAGUGGUAGGGACUGAGGAACUCAGCACGGCUUCACGGCUUGUG
RNAcentral lists this ribosomal RNA (478 nucleotides) under Hemiaustroboletus sp. RNAcentral describes it as "Boletaceae sp. OAV-2019a partial large subunit ribosomal RNA". It matches the Rfam family "Eukaryotic large subunit ribosomal RNA", at positions 140 to 619 of the family's 3401-position model. The record is from RNAcentral. Lineage: Eukaryota; Fungi; Basidiomycota; Agaricomycetes; Boletales; Boletaceae.